Molecule: RNA transcript, 1343 nt
Organism: Syzygium oleosum
Lineage: Eukaryota; Viridiplantae; Streptophyta; Magnoliopsida; Myrtales; Myrtaceae
Gene name: hydroxyacylglutathione hydrolase 2, mitochondrial
Exons: 9
Source: RefSeq, a predicted model, not a curated record
CUCUCUCUCCACCAAGCAGUCCUGUCACUCUUUUCUCUCUUUCUGGAGCGAGGAGGAGGAGGAGGAGGAGGAGGAGGAGGAUUUGGCGAAGAAGGAAGAAAGCGAUGCAGACGAUCUCCAAAGCUUCCUGCACCAUGGCUUCCUUCCCUUGUUCUAGGGUGAAGAGCGGGCUAUGCGUGUGGCCAGGCAUGAAACAGCUUUGUUUGAGGAAAGGACUUCCGUAUGGGUUGUUGCGUUUCCUGUCUAUUCCUUUCAAGACCUUGUGGGGUGCCAGUAGAUCUCUCAAAGUUACUCAAUUUUGCACCGUGUAUAACAUGUCCUCCUCUUUACAGAUUGAAUUGGUACCAUGUCUCACGGACAACUACGCAUAUCUUUUACAUGACGUGGAUACUGGGACAGUUGGAGUGGUUGAUCCUUCUGAAUCUCGACCUAUAAUUGAUGCUCUGAGUAGGAAAAACCGAAAUCUCACCUACAUAUUAAAUACCCAUCAUCAUUUUGAUCACACUGGAGGCAACGUGGAGCUAAAAGCAAGGUACGGUGCUAAGGUGAUUGGUUCAGGAAUAGACAGGGACAGAAUACCUGGCAUAGAUAUAGCCCUCAAAGAUGGGGAUAAAUGGAUGUUCGCUGGACAUGAGGUGCUUGUGAUUGAAACUCCAGGACACACUCGAGGCCACAUUAGUUUUUAUUUUCCUGGAUCUGGAGUAAUUUUCACUGGAGAUACAUUGUUUAGCUUAUCGUGUGGCAAGCUCUUUGAAGGGACUCCUGAACAGAUGGUUUCAUCCCUCAAAAAGAUCACGGCUUUGCCUGAUGAUACAAACAUUUAUUGUGGUCAUGAAUAUACAUUGAGUAAUUCAAAGUUUGCACUGUCUAUAGAACCCAACAAUGAAGCGCUUAAAAAUUAUGCGGCCCAAGUUGCUCAUCUUCGCAGCAAAGGCACAGCAACGGUCAGCUCUGGUUUGCCUCCAAUAAACUAAUUCUCUGGACACUGAAAGAUUCUCAGAGUGGGGAGAUGCAGAUCUUGAGACUGGCUUGUUUGGUUUUCUUACCUCGGUCAAACUUCUGAAUUGCAUGAGUUAAUAACAAUAGUUCCAGACCUUUUAUUCAGAUGCAAUUAUAGAUCCCAACGACUUUGAAGACGGAGAAAAUGUGUAAUCCAUUCCUUCGCACUUCGAGCAUGGAGAUUCGACAGUCGCUAAGUAUUCCAGCCGCAGCAGAUGAUGCUGAGGCAUUGCGAGUUAUCAGGCAAGCAAAGGAUAAUUUUUGAGCUUGUCAAUAGCUAUUUCAGAUUUUGUAUAGAGGUGAGCUUGUGAAUGCGUCUAUAAGUGGUCGUUCAUUCGACGAUU